Molecule: ribosomal RNA, 556 nt
Filed under: uncultured bacterium
Lineage: Bacteria
Description: bacterial SSU rRNA
Rfam family: Bacterial small subunit ribosomal RNA
Source: RNAcentral
UCCUACGGGAGGCAGCAGUGGGGAAUCUUGCACAAUGGAGGAAACUCUGAUGCAGCGAUGCCGCGUGAGUGAAGAAGGCCCUUGGGUUGUAAAGCUCUUUUGUCGGGAAAGAUAAUGACUGUACCCGAAUAAGAAGGUCCGGCUAACUUCGUGCCAGCAGCCGCGGUAAUACGAAGGGACCUAGCGUAGUUCGGAAUUACUGGGCUUAAAGAGUUCGUAGGUGGUUGAAAAAGUUAGUGGUGAAAUCCCAGAGCUUAACUCUGGAACUGCCAUUAAAACUUUUCAGCUAGAGUAUGAUAGAGGAAAGCAGAAUUUCUAGUGUAGAGGUGAAAUUCGUAGAUAUUAGAAAGAAUACCAAUUGCGAAGGCAGCUUUCUGGAUCAUUACUGACACUGAGGAACGAAAGCAUGGGUAGCGAGGAGGAUUAGAUACCCUCGUAGUCCAUGCCGUAAACGAUGUGUGUUAAACGUUGGAAAUUUAUUUUCAGUGUCGCACCGAAAGCGAUAACACACCGCCUGGGGAGUACGACCGCAAGGUUAUAAACUCAAAUGGAAUUG